RNAcentral lists this ribosomal RNA (256 nucleotides) under uncultured prokaryote. Its description in RNAcentral is "partial 16S ribosomal RNA". It matches the Rfam family "Bacterial small subunit ribosomal RNA", at positions 522 to 777 of the family's 1533-position model. The record is from RNAcentral.
AAGACGAACCGAGCGAACGUUGUUCGGAAUCACUGGGCUUAAAGGGCGCGUAGGCGGGUUCGCAAGUCUGUGGUGAAAUCCUCCGGCUCAACCGGAGAACUGCCUCGGAUACUGCGGGUCUCGAGGGUGAUAGGGGUAUGCGGAACUAUCGGUGGAGCGGUGAAAUGCGUUGAUAUCGAUAGGAACUCCGGCGGCGAAGGCGGCAUACUGGAUCACUUCUGACGCUGAGGCGCGAAAGCCAGGGGAGCAAACGGGA